AACGGGUGAGUAACACGUGGGUGACCUACCUUCGAAUGGGGGAUAACGUCCCGAAAGGGACGCUAAUACCGCAUAACAUCCUGCCUUUGAACAGGCGGAGAUCAAAGCCGGGGAUCGCAAGACCUGGCGUUUGAAGAGGGGCCCGCGUCCGAUUAGCUAGUUGGUGAGGUAACGGCUCACCAAGGCGACGAUCGGUAGCCGGCCUGAGAGGGCGGACGGCCACACUGGGACUGAGACACGGCCCAGACUCC
RNAcentral lists this ribosomal RNA (251 nucleotides) under uncultured bacterium. RNAcentral's name for it is "partial 16S ribosomal RNA". It matches the Rfam family "Bacterial small subunit ribosomal RNA", at positions 101 to 339 of the family's 1533-position model. The record is from RNAcentral.